GUGGUUUGUAAAAUACAUUAUUUCGUACUCCUAAAGCAAUAAUUUCAUUUUUAUCACCCAGUUUACUGCGACUUUAUUCCUCGAGUGCAAUUUGAAUAUUUUAUUGUACCGCUUUGUUUAUUACGAAAGAAAAAACAAUUUUCAGUUCAGAUGGCGCGCGGGUGGGCUGCGCAGGAGCAUCAUAACAAAGCGUGAUGUUGUCUAUGGAUACAGCGCGACCUCCGGCUGGAUAUGGACGCCAGUCUCCGUUACCGUUGUCUUCCACUUUUGGAGUGUAUAAUGAUUGUCUGGAAAUUUUAUAUUAAUAAAUAUGUAUUUUAAUGACGGUAAUAGGUAGUACCAGGCACUGAUUACGGUUGUACGCAAUAUCAACGUAUAAAAAAGUA
Long non-coding RNA from Pieris brassicae (large cabbage white), 386 nucleotides. RefSeq lists it as uncharacterized. The transcript is spliced from 2 exons. The record is from RefSeq and is a predicted model, not a curated record. Lineage: Eukaryota; Metazoa; Arthropoda; Insecta; Lepidoptera; Pieridae.